GCGAAAUUCCUUGUCGGGUAAGUUCCGACCUGCACGAAUGGUGCAACGAUCUGGACACUGUCUCGGGCAUGAGCUCGGUGAAAUUGUAGUAACGGUGAAGAUGCCGUUUACCCGCAGUGGGACGAAAAGACCCCGUGCACCUUUACUAUAGCUUCGUAUUGACCCUGGAUAAGUAAUGUGUAGGAUAGCUAGGAGACUUUGAAGCGGCGUCGCCAGGCGUUGUGGAGUCAUUGUUGAAAUACUAGCCUUUGCUUAUUUGGGGCCUAACUCUCUUAAGAGAGAACAGUGCGUGGUGGGUAGUUUGACUGGGGUGGUCGCCUCCAAAAGAGUAACGGAGGCUUCUAAAGGUGCCCUCAAUACGGUUGGUAAUCGUGUGUAGAGUGCAAUGGCACAAGGGCGCUUGACUGAGAGACCUACAAGUCGAUCAGGUACGAAAGUAGAGCAUAGUGAUCCGGUGGUUCCGCAUGGAAGGGCCAUCGCUCAAAGGAUAAAAGGUACGCCGGGGAUAACAGGCUGAUCUCCCCCAAGAGUUCACAUCGACGGGGAGGUUUGGCACCUCGAUGUCGGCUCAUCGCAACCUGGGGCUGAAGUCGGUCCCAAGGGUUGGGCUGUUCGCCCAUUAAAGCGGUACGCGAGCUGGGUUCAGAACGUCGUGAGACAGUUCGGUCCAUAUCCGGUGUAUGCGUAGGAAUAUUGAGAGGAUUUCUCCCUAGUACGAGAGGACCGGGAGGAACACACCUCUGGUGUACCAGUUAUCGUGCCAACGGUAAACGCUGGGUAGCCAUGUGUGGAGUGGAUAACCGCUGAAAGCAUCUAAGUGGGAAGCCCACCUCAAGAUGAGUAUUCCCAUGGGGUAACCCAGUAAGGUCACGGGAAGAACACCCGUUGAUAGGCUCUACGUCGAAGUUCAGUAAUGGAUGCAGCGGAGGAGUACUAAUAGACCGAGGGCUUGAC
RNAcentral lists this ribosomal RNA (954 nucleotides) under Pteridomonas danica. RNAcentral's name for it is "partial Bacterial large subunit ribosomal RNA". It matches the Rfam family "Bacterial large subunit ribosomal RNA", at positions 1959 to 2925 of the family's 2925-position model. Lineage: Eukaryota; Dictyochophyceae; Pedinellales. The record is from RNAcentral.